CUGGACUUCACAGGUGGCACUAGUGGUAAAGAACCCAUCUGCCAAUGCAGGAGACAUAAGAUGCAAGUUCAGUCCCUGGUUAGGAAGAUCCCCUGGAGGAGGGCAUGGCAACCCAUUCCAGUAUUCUUGCCAGGAGAACUUCUUGGACAGAGGAGCUUGCUGGGCUAUAGUCUAUAGGGUCACAAAUAGCCGGAUGUGGCUGAAGCAAUUUAGCACACAACGAUAAGAAAAGACUAGGGUAAUUACUAGAUGAGGCUUCAGGUUCAAGAAACGAAGUUUUAAACUUGGGGAUACGCUUGAGAAUGUAAGAUACAGGGGCAAAGGAUUCACAGAGGAAGAGGAGACUGAAGAAGCUGAUGGAAGAGAGGACAUGGCCCCUCGGAAGGUGAAGAGAGAAGUUAGCCUUGAAGGAAGGGAGUGAGUGGCCUCUUUUCUCUUGAGUGGGGGAAAAGGCCAGAGCUAAAACAGAGCUUCUCAGGUGGCGCUAGUGGUAAAGAAUCCACCUGCCCAUGGCACCUCACUCCAGUAUUCUUGCCUGGAAAAUUCCAUAGACAUAGGAGCCUGUGCGCUACACCCAUGGGGUUGCAAAGAGUUGGACACGGCUGAGCAUCUGAGCACAAAGACAGUGAAACAGAGACACCGAGAGACACAGGGCUGACGCUGAAGUGAUUAUUCCAAACGGCUCUGCACGUCAUUCUUCUCUCUAGUGAUGCCGCUCCAGCAGAGCGCAGCCACUGCUCCUUGCCUUGGAUGGGGGUAUCUCCUCACGGCUGCCCUUCCUGAUCUUGAACGUGAAGUAGCUCCUCUCAGCCCUCCUGCGCCUGUGCAGCCUCCGCUCCUUGGACGUGGGGUUGCUCCUCUAGGCUGCUGCCCCUGACCUCACCAUGGGGUAGCUCUUCUCAGCCGCUGCCACUGACCUCGGGCGUGGGGUAGCUCCUCUCCACCACCACCCCUGAACUUGGGUAAGGGGAAGCUCCUCUUGGCCACCAAACAAUGUUCAAACUACCACACAAUGGCACUCAUCUCACACGCUAGCAAAGUAAUGUUCAAAAUUCUCCAAGCCAGGCAUCAGCAAUAUGUGAACCAUGAACUUCCAGAUGUUCAAGCUGAUUUUAGAAAAGGCAGAGGAAC
This is a long non-coding RNA of Bos taurus (domestic cattle), 1131 nucleotides long. Lineage: Eukaryota; Metazoa; Chordata; Mammalia; Artiodactyla; Bovidae. The record is from Ensembl.